GAAACGAACAGAGCAGACGAUACCAGAAAAAUUGUAGCUCGAAUAGAAACACUGAAAUGGCCGUUGAAUAAUUCAGUUUCUCUCGAUAGAUGACUCUGAUUCUAGUUUCCACCACUUUGCUCCGCCCCAAAACUGACGAAAUUUUAGACAUUCAGACCAACGAAACGCGGUAUAGGGAUUCCUCUCAGCCUGAACCAACCAGGGUUCUAUGACUCUGCUCUGACCAUACAAUACAAUAAUUAGUUUAAUUAUAACAAUACAAGCGGCAACGGUGUCAUCGCUUGGUAGAAAAAUAAUGCUUUUAUUCGCCACCUGGUGGGCGUUCAAAGAAAGCUUAGGUCUGGACUUCUACCAUGUUCAAGGGUCUUUUGUUUUCAGACUCUCGUGGUGUCAAAUUUUUAACUAGGGGCCCUCACUCCGUUCAGGAAGUUCCCGAUAGGGUCCAGCCUGGUCGCCAAUUCGCCAUAGAAUCUCGGAAACCGAUUGUCCUUACGGCAAAACUGACAACGUAUCCAUGUAGGAUGAAGACGACGUGUGAAGUAAUCAUCCCCGCUUCACCCCGCCUUCCCAUUUUUGUCAAAAUCGGCCAAAAACGACAACUCUUGAAAUUAUCCAAAAAUCAUACGGCAUAAUUGAAAUUAAACGCUGAUUUCGAUUUA
This is a long non-coding RNA of Daphnia magna, 659 nucleotides long. RefSeq lists it as uncharacterized. The transcript is spliced from 2 exons. The record is from RefSeq and is a predicted model, not a curated record. NCBI's taxonomy places the organism in Eukaryota, Metazoa, Arthropoda, Branchiopoda, Diplostraca, Daphniidae.